UACUUAAAAUGGGUGUAGUAUGUUACAUGUAAAUUACAUCAUAAGACCUGAUUUUUCAUUUUAUUUUAUUUUAGUUUUGGAGACUGAGUCUCACUCUGUUGCCCAGGCUGCAGUGCAGUGGCGUGAUCUCAGCUCACUGCAAUCUCCGCCUCCCAGGCUCAAGCCAUUCUUGUGUCUCAGCCUCCUGAGUAGCUGGGACUACAGGCGUGCACCACCAUGCCCGGCUAAUUUUUUGUAUUUUAGUAGAGACGGGGUUUCACCAUGUUGCCCAGGGUGGUCUUGAACUCCUGAGCUCAGGCAAUCCACCCGCCUCAGCCUCCCAAAGUGCUGGGAUUACAGGCAUGAGCCACUAUGCCCAGCCAAGACCUGAUUUUUCAAAAACUGUCAUGAACAUUGUCAAGAAGAAAUACAGGAUGCACUGGGAGAUGAACUAGAUCUUCAAAUCCCUCCAAAAGGACACGUUGUUUUUACAACAGUGUAGCACGGUGAGAUGGUCUCUCCUCUCCAGGAACAGAAGUUUUGAAACCCAUCAUACAUCCAGCAAAAAUUCCAGUACCUUGGAGCAAAGAAUUGUGUUCCAGAGAUCCAAAGACCAAUCGUUCGGUAACCAUGCACCAGCCAGGUUAGCUUAUAUUUUGUUUCCCUGAGAACUAGAAAGUAUGUAAAGGCCUUGGAUGGCGAUUCCAUGGCAACGUAUUUAAAUCUAGAUUUCAUUGAAACCCAGCCUUCAUGGGUACUGAAAGAAAUGUGAAGUCUUGCUGACAUUCAUUUCGUGGUUUCCAUCAAGGUCCAGUGGAACAAAUGCCAUAAUUAGGCCUCAGAAGAGAGGCCAGAGAUUGACUGUGAGGUCCCUCCAGUCAUGCCUCCAGGCCUUACUAGACUGGGACGCUCACACUGUCGCUCUCUGCUUUGUAGCUGUUUGUGCAAGAACAAAAGGACUUCAGUCUCCCUUGCUAUUAAUCCAACUUCACAAGCAUGAAAUUUACAGACACACACAAGAAUUCAUCAUUGAAACCUUUUCCCCUUGUCAUGUUCAGCUGCUGAAAAGUGGGCACACUCUUGGAAAUGAAUGUUAAUAAAAAA
This 1083-nucleotide long non-coding RNA is filed under the name Homo sapiens (human). Its description in RNAcentral is "HSALNT0008089". Lineage: Eukaryota; Metazoa; Chordata; Mammalia; Primates; Hominidae. The record is from RNAcentral.